GGAAGUAAAAGUCGUAACAAGGUCUCCGUUGGUGAACCAGCGGAGGGAUCAUUACCGAGUUUACAACUCCCAAACCCCUGUGAACAUACCUAUACGUUGCCUCGGCGGAUCAGCCCGCGCCCCGUAAAAAGGGACGGCCCGCCCGAGGACCCCUAAACUCUGUUUUUAGUGGAACUUCUGAGUAAAACAAACAAAUAAAUCAAAACUUUCAACAACGGAUCUCUUGGUUCUGGCAUCGAUGAAGAACGCAGCAAAAUGCGAUAAGUAAUGUGAAUUGCAGAAUUCAGUGAAUCAUCGAAUCUUUGAACGCACAUUGCGCCCGCCAGUAUUCUGGCGGGCAUGCCUGUUCGAGCGUCAUUUCAACCCUCAAGCUCAGCUUGGUGUUGGGGCUCGCGGUAACCCGCGUUCCCCAAAUCGAUUGGCGGUCACGUCGAGCUUCCAUAGCGUAGUAAUCAUACACCUCGUUACUGGUAAUCGUCGCGGCCACGCCGUAAAACCCCAACUUCUGAAUGUUGACCUCGGAUCAGGUAGGAAUACCCGCUGAACUUAAGCAUAUCAAUAAGCGGAGGA
RNAcentral lists this ribosomal RNA (570 nucleotides) under uncultured fungus. RNAcentral's name for it is "eukaryotic LSU rRNA". The stretch from base 204 to 357 matches the Rfam family "5.8S ribosomal RNA". The record is from RNAcentral. Lineage: Eukaryota; Fungi.